Molecule: signal recognition particle RNA, 98 nt
Filed under: Alphaproteobacteria bacterium
Lineage: Bacteria; Pseudomonadati; Pseudomonadota; Alphaproteobacteria
Also listed under: 1 other name
Description: signal recognition particle sRNA small type
Rfam family: Bacterial small signal recognition particle RNA
About the family: The signal recognition particle (SRP) is a universally conserved ribonucleoprotein involved in the co-translational targeting of proteins to membranes.
Source: RNAcentral
GGAGGUUGGCGGCGGACAGGUCCACUCGCCAACCCGGUCAGAUCCGGAAGGAAGCAGCCGUAACGAAUUCGACCUGGGUCGUUUGUCCAGCCUCCCAC